GAGAGAGGAAAACAUCAUUUGUGAGAGACCGUCUAUCCUUGGCCAGAGCUGCUGCAACGAAAGAAGCUGCUAGAAUCAAAGCAGAAUGUGGUGUUAAAGAGUCUGCUUCCACAAUGGAGGAAAUCAGUAUCGAAGAUGCAUUUGUGGAUCUUCACUGUGAAGAGGAAGAGGACCCUGCAUGGACAACAUGUGAUGACUGUAAGGCUGAACAUUAUGAAACUGGAACAGACGGUAAAGCUCUUUGUCGCCACGUGAAGACAACAGUGUAUAACGUCAGCCAUCAGUUAGUGUUUCAGCCUCAGGAGACUCCUGUUGGAGUAGUAGAGAGCUACAUCAUGAUCAGCUGCACGA
Long non-coding RNA from Fundulus heteroclitus (mummichog), 351 nucleotides. RefSeq lists it as uncharacterized. The record is from RefSeq and is a predicted model, not a curated record. Lineage: Eukaryota; Metazoa; Chordata; Actinopteri; Cyprinodontiformes; Fundulidae. The transcript is spliced from 4 exons.